CCUACGGGUGGCAGCAGUGGGGAAUCUUGCACAAUGGGGGAAACCCUGAUGCAGCGACGCCGCGUGAGUGAAGAAGUAUUUCGGUACGUAAAGCUCUGUCAGCAGGGAAGAACAUGACGGUACCUUACUCAGAAGCCCCGGCUCACUACGUACCAGCAGCCGCGGGAAUACGUAGGGGGCAAGCGUUCUCCGGAUUUACUGGGUGUAACGGGAUUGUAGACGGCAGCGCAAGUCUGGAGUGAAAUCCCAUGGCUUAACCAUGGAACUGCUGUGGAAACUGUGCAGCUAGAGUGCAGGAGAGGUAAGCGGAAUUCCUAGUGUAGCGGUGAAAUGCGUAGAUAUUAGGAGGAACACCAGUGGCGAAGGCGGCUUACUGGACUGUAACUGACGUUGAGGCUCGAAAGCGUGGGGAGCAAACAGGAUUAGAUACCCCGGUAGUC
Molecule: ribosomal RNA, 440 nt
Filed under: uncultured bacterium
Lineage: Bacteria
Description: partial 16S ribosomal RNA
Rfam family: Bacterial small subunit ribosomal RNA
Source: RNAcentral